RNAcentral lists this transfer RNA (49 nucleotides) under Chelonia mydas (Green sea turtle). Its description in RNAcentral is "partial tRNA-Pro". Lineage: Eukaryota; Metazoa; Chordata; Testudines; Cheloniidae. The record is from RNAcentral.
CAAAGGAUAGUUUAAUUAUAGGAUUCCGGUUUUGGGGACCGGGGAUGAA